This 271-nucleotide ribosomal RNA is filed under the name uncultured archaeon. RNAcentral's name for it is "partial 16S ribosomal RNA". It matches the Rfam family "Archaeal small subunit ribosomal RNA", at positions 477 to 747 of the family's 1478-position model. The record is from RNAcentral.
CAGCGCUGCAAGUGGGAAUCACGAUUAUUGGGCCUAAAGCGUCCGUAGCCGGUUUGGUAAAUCUUUUGUGAAAUUGGUGGACUCAAUCCAUCAACGUGCAGGAGACACUACUAAACUUGAGACCGGGAGGGGUUGGGAGUAUUCUAGGGGGAGCGGUAAAAUGCUAUAAUCCCUAGAGGACUACCUGUGGCGAAGGCGCCCAACCAGAACGGAUCUGACGGUGAGGGACGAAGGCCAGGGGAGCGAUCCGGAUUAGAUACCCGAGUAGUCC